Molecule: ribosomal RNA, 468 nt
Filed under: uncultured bacterium
Lineage: Bacteria
Description: partial 16S ribosomal RNA
Rfam family: Bacterial small subunit ribosomal RNA
Source: RNAcentral
GACGAACGCUGGCGGCGUGCUUAACACAUGCAAGUCGAACGGAGAGGCCCUGCUUUUGUGGGGUGCUCGAGUGGCGAACGGGCGAGUAACACGUGAGUAACCUGCCCUUGACUUUGGGAUAACUUCAGGAAACUGGGGCUAAUACCGGAUAGGAGCUCCUGCUGCAUGGUGGGGGUUGGAAAGUUUCGGCGGUUGGGGGUGGACUCGCGGCUUAUCAGCUUGUUGGUGGGGUAGUGGCUUACCAAGGCUUUGACGGGUAGCCGGCCUGAGAGGGUGACCGGCCACAUUGGGACUGAGAUACGGCCCAGACUCCUACGGGAGGCAGCAGUGGGGAAUAUUGCACAAUGGGCGGAAGCCUGAUGCAGCAACGCCGCGUGCGGGAUGACGGCCUUCGGGUUGUAAACCGCUUUCGCCUGUGACGAAGCGUGAGUGACGGUAAUGGGUAAAGAAGCACCGGCUAACUACGUG